CAUACCACCGGCUGACAUGCCGGUCAAGCUCCGACCAAAGAAAGGCGAAAUGCCUACGCGACCGACGUCGCGACUCCCGACCGAGCUACGGCCGGUCGAGGGAUAUUCGGCUUACCACCGUCUAUCGCACAAUACGACCUCAGUCGUAUUUAUGAUUCACCGACCAGGCUACGGCCGGUCGGAAGAUAUCCGGCUUACCACCGC
RNAcentral lists this long non-coding RNA (204 nucleotides) under Elaeis guineensis (African oil palm). RNAcentral's name for it is "long non-coding RNA (EGUI_LNC079376)". Lineage: Eukaryota; Viridiplantae; Streptophyta; Magnoliopsida; Arecales; Arecaceae. The record is from RNAcentral.